RNAcentral lists this ribosomal RNA (438 nucleotides) under uncultured bacterium. RNAcentral describes it as "partial 16S ribosomal RNA". It matches the Rfam family "Bacterial small subunit ribosomal RNA", at positions 339 to 795 of the family's 1533-position model. The record is from RNAcentral.
CUACGGGACGCUGCAGUGGGGAAUAUUGCACAAUGGGGGAAACCCUGAUGCAGCAACGCCGCGUGGGGAUGACGCAUUUCGGUGUGUAAACUCCCUUUAUAUCCCAAGAUAAUGACGGUAGGAUAUGAAUAAGCACCGGCUAACUCCGUGCCAGCAGCCGCGGUAAUACGGAGGGUGCAAGCGUUACUCGGAAUCACUGGGCGUAAAGGGCGCGUAGGCGGGUUGUCAAGUCUUGAGUGAAAUCCAACGGCUCAACCGUUGAACUGCUUGAGAAACUGGCAGCCUAGAGUAAGGGAGAGGUAGAUGGAAUUGGUGGUGUAGGGGUAAAAUCCGUAGAGAUCACCAGGAAUACCCAUUGCGAAGGCGAUCUGCUGGAACUUUACUGACGCUGAGGCGCGAAAGCGUGGGGAGCAAACAGGAUUAGAUACCCGCGUAGUC